Molecule: ribosomal RNA, 497 nt
Filed under: uncultured bacterium
Lineage: Bacteria
Description: partial 16S ribosomal RNA
Rfam family: Bacterial small subunit ribosomal RNA
Source: RNAcentral
GAUGAACGCUGGCGGCGUGCCUAAUACAUGCAAGUCGAGCGAACAGAUGAGGAGCUUGCUCCUCUGACGUUAGCGGCGGACGGGUGAGUAACACGUGGAUAACCUACCUAUAAGACUGGGAUAACUUCGGGAAACCGGAGCUAAUACCGGAUAAUAUAUUGAACCGCAUGGUUCAAUAGUGAAAGACGGUUUUGCUGUCACUUAUAGAUGGAUCCGCGCCGCAUUAGCUAGUUGGUAAGGUAACGGCUUACCAAGGCAACGAUGCGUAGCCGACCUGAGAGGGUGAUCGGCCACACUGGAACUGAGACACGGUCCAGACUCCUACGGGAGGCAGCAGUAGGGAAUCUUCCGCAAUGGGGGAAAGCAUGACGGAGCAACGCCGCGUGAGUGAUGAAGGUCUUCGGAUCGUAAAACUCUGUUAUUAGGGAAGAACAAAUGUGUAAGUAACUAUGCACGUCUUGACGGUACCUAAUCAGAAAGCCACGGCUAACUCCGUG